CCUGCCCAGUGACUAAUUGUUCAACGGCCGCGGUAUCCUGACCGUGCAAAGGUAGCAUAAUCAUUUGCCUUUUAAUUGGAGGCUAGUAUGAAUGGGUAGACGAAGAUUUAGCUGUUUCUAUAUUAAAAAUAUAACUUAAACUUUAGGUGAAGAUGCCUAAAUUUUAUAGAAAGACAAGAAGACCCUAUAGAGUUUGCUUUGGUUGGGGCGACCUAGGAUCUAAUUAAACAUCCUUCUAUACUGAUAUAUUUAUCUAAAUAAUUGAACCUAAAUGGAUUAUUAAAAUUAACUACCUUAGGGAUAACAGGCUUAUCUUCCUAGAGAGCUCUUAUUGAUAGGAUGGUUUGGCACCUCGAUGUUGGCUUAGAGUAACUUAAUAUCGCAGCAGAUAUUUGUAGUCAGUUUGUUCAACUGUUAAUUCUCU
Molecule: ribosomal RNA, 424 nt
Filed under: Gorgoniapolynoe caeciliae
Lineage: Eukaryota; Metazoa; Annelida; Polychaeta; Phyllodocida; Polynoidae
Description: partial 16S ribosomal RNA
Rfam family: Bacterial large subunit ribosomal RNA
Source: RNAcentral